UACGUAGGUGACCAGCGUUGUCCGGAUUUAUUGGGCGUAAAGAGCGUGUAGGCGGCCAGGUAGGUCUGCUGUGAAAACUCGAGGCUUAACCUCGAGCUGUCGGCGGAAACCAUCUGGCUAGAGUCCGGAAGAGGAGAAUGGAAUUCCCGGUGUAGCGGUGAAAUGCGCAGAUAUCGGGAAGAACACCCGUGGCGAAGGCGGCUCUCUGGGACGGUACUGACGCUGAGACGCGAAAGCGUGGGGAGCGAACAGG
Molecule: ribosomal RNA, 253 nt
Filed under: uncultured bacterium
Lineage: Bacteria
Description: partial 16S ribosomal RNA
Rfam family: Bacterial small subunit ribosomal RNA
Source: RNAcentral